This 25-nucleotide non-coding RNA is filed under the name Cricetulus griseus (Chinese hamster). Lineage: Eukaryota; Metazoa; Chordata; Mammalia; Rodentia; Cricetidae. The record is from RNAcentral.
CGACUUUUCGGUAUUCUUCAGGGAU